Molecule: ribosomal RNA, 253 nt
Filed under: uncultured bacterium
Lineage: Bacteria
Description: partial 16S ribosomal RNA
Rfam family: Bacterial small subunit ribosomal RNA
Source: RNAcentral
UACAGAGGGUGCAAGCGUUGCUCGGAAUUAUUGGGCGUAAAGAGCGCGUAGGCGGUCCGAUAAGUCGGCUGUGAAAGUCAGGGGCUCAACCCUUGGAAGCCGGCCGAUACUGUCGGACUAGAGUCCGGAAGAGGCGAGUGGAAUUCCCGGUGUAGCGGUGAAAUGCGCAGAUAUCGGGAGGAACACCAAUGGCGAAGGCAGCUCGCUGGGACGGUACUGACGCUGAGGCGCGAAAGCGUGGGGAGCAAACAGG